Molecule: ribosomal RNA, 571 nt
Filed under: uncultured fungus
Lineage: Eukaryota; Fungi
Description: eukaryotic LSU rRNA
Rfam family: 5.8S ribosomal RNA (bases 208-361)
Source: RNAcentral
AAGUCGUAACAAGGUCUCCGUAGGUGAACCUGCGGAGGGAUCAUUACAAGUGACCCCCGGCUCCGGCCGGGGAUGUUCAUAACCCUUUGUUGUCCGACUCUGUUGCCUCCGGGGCGACCCUGCCUUUUCACGGGCGGGGGCCCCGGGUGGACACAUCAAAACUCUUGCGUAACUUUGCAGUCUGAGUAAAUUUAAUUAAUAAAUUAAAACUUUCAACAACGGAUCUCUUGGUUCUGGCAUCGAUGAAGAACGCAGCGAAAUGCGAUAAGUAAUGUGAAUUGCAGAAUUCAGUGAAUCAUCGAAUCUUUGAACGCACAUUGCGCCCCCUGGCAUUCCGGGGGGCAUGCCUGUCCGAGCGUCAUUGCUGCCCUUCAAGCCCGGCUUGUGUGUUGGGUCGUCGUCCCCCCCGGGGGACGGGCCCGAAAGGCAGCGGCGGCACCGCGUCCGGUCCUCGAGCGUAUGGGGCUUUGUCACCCGCUCGAUUAGGGCCGGCCGGGCGCCAGCCGGCGUCUCCAACCUUCUAUUUUACCAGGUUGACCUCGGAUCAGGUAGGGAUACCCGCUGAACUUAA